Molecule: ribosomal RNA, 495 nt
Filed under: uncultured bacterium
Lineage: Bacteria
Description: bacterial SSU rRNA
Rfam family: Bacterial small subunit ribosomal RNA
Source: RNAcentral
ACUCAAAGGAAUAGACGGGGGCCCGCACAAGCAGUGGAGUAUGUGGUUUAAUUCGAAGAUACGCGAAAAACCUUACCAAGCCUUGACAUCCGACUAACGAAGCAGAAAUGCAUUAGGUGCCCUUCGGGGAAAGUCGAGACAGGUGGUGCAUGGUUGUCGUCAGCUCGUGUCGUGAGAUGUUGGGUUAAGUCCCGCAACGAGCGCAACCCUUGCGGUUAGUUGCUACGAAAGAGCACUCUAACAGGACUGCCGUUGACAAAACGGAGGAAGGUGGGGAUGAUGUCAAAUCAUCAUGCCCCUUAUGGCUUGGGCUACACACGUACUACAAUGGCUGUUAACAAAGGGAUGCAAUGAAGCAAUUCGGAGCUAAUCCUCAAAAACAGUCUCAGUUCAGAUUGCAGGCUGAAACUCGCCUGUAUGAAGUCGGAAUUGCUAGUAAUCGCGAAUCAGCAUGUCGCGGUGAAUACGUUCCCGGGCCUUGUACACACCGCCCGU